CAGGCCUGCCAGCAGCCAGCCCUGCUCUCAGAGUGCUCAGUCCCAGCCACAGGGCACGGGGUGCCACACGUGCCUUUCUCCGAGCCCCACCGACUCCUGCCGUGGCAAAUUUAGGGAACCUCUGUUACCCACUUCCAUCCAGCCUCAGAUCUCCAGAAAAUGCUCAACCACCAGCAUUCUGAGGAGAAUACACAUUUCUUCUGGAGGACCUGGGUGCCACCAUAACAAAUCAAGGGAAACUUUCAGGGAUAUGCAAUAAUGGCAGCAGCAAGCUCCGCCUCAGUCUGGCCCUUCCUCCAACCUCUGCUAACCUAAAAACCAGCG
This 324-nucleotide long non-coding RNA is filed under the name Zonotrichia albicollis (white-throated sparrow). RNAcentral's name for it is "lncRNA (ENSZALG00000014947.1)". Lineage: Eukaryota; Metazoa; Chordata; Aves; Passeriformes; Passerellidae. The record is from RNAcentral.